ACCUGGCUGGCUUAGUGAGAAGAGCAUGUGACUCUUGAUCUCAGGGUUGUAAGUUCAAGCCCCAUGCUGGGUG
This 73-nucleotide transfer RNA is filed under the name Canis lupus familiaris (dog). It matches the Rfam family "tRNA". From Rfam's summary of the family: Transfer RNA (tRNA) molecules are approximately 80 nucleotides in length. Their secondary structure includes four short double-helical elements and three loops (D, anti-codon, and T loops). RNAcentral also lists the same sequence under 1 other name. The record is from Rfam by way of RNAcentral. Lineage: Eukaryota; Metazoa; Chordata; Mammalia; Carnivora; Canidae.